RNAcentral lists this ribosomal RNA (268 nucleotides) under uncultured anaerobic ammonium-oxidizing bacterium. Its description in RNAcentral is "partial 16S ribosomal RNA". It matches the Rfam family "Bacterial small subunit ribosomal RNA", at positions 567 to 832 of the family's 1533-position model. The record is from RNAcentral.
AGCACGUAGGUGGGUUUGUAAGUCAGAUGUGAAAGCCUUCUGUUCAACGGGAGAAUUGCAUCUGAAACUACAGACCUUGAGUAUAGGAGGGGAGAAUGGAACUUCUGGUGGAGCGGUGAAAUGCGUAGAUAUCAGAAGGAACGCCGGCGGCGAAAGCGAUUCUCUGGCCUAUUACUGACACUCAGUGUGCGAAAGCUAGGGGAGCAAACGGGAUUAGAUACCCCGGUAGUCCUAGCCGUAAACGAUGGGCACUAAGUAGAGGGGUUUU